Long non-coding RNA from Bubalus bubalis (water buffalo), 4481 nucleotides. RefSeq lists it as uncharacterized. The record is from RefSeq and is a predicted model, not a curated record. The transcript has 3 exons. Lineage: Eukaryota; Metazoa; Chordata; Mammalia; Artiodactyla; Bovidae.
AGUACAGGGAAUUGUUGCCAUUACUUGGUAAUAACUUUUAAUGGAAUAUAAUCUGUAAAAAUACUGAAUCCCUAAACUGUACUCCAGAAACUGAUACAAUAUUAUAAAUCAACUAUACUUCAAUUAAAAAACACAUUGUCCUUCCAGAAACACCACUGUUUACUGUGUUACUGGUAAAUUCCUCUACCCCCAGCCCCAGCCCCACCCACAGACUACUGCUGAGUCUUUCCCCUCACUAUCACCAUGCUUAAGGGUCAAGGUCUCCACUUUUCCUAGUGUUGGACCAUUGAUGAAGGGGAGGUCAAUGGGCUGGGCAAUUUCUUAGGUCACCAGAGGGUCAUCUGGGGUGAUGUACGGGCACAUGACAUGGGAGGCUCCUGCCCAGCUGUGGAGAGAAAAACCAGUGAGGAAGAGGGAUGAGUGCUGUUGACAGGAGCUGGUCAGGCCCCCAGGCCUCCUGGUACUGCGCGUCUUCAUUUUAGCAUUAACUCUCUGAUAUGCCUUGAGUGGAAAGAAACAUUCUGAAAAAUAACCUUUCCUGACUCUCAGAUUUCCAGUCAUAACAACUCUUAAUUCUUCUGCAGGCAAAGUAGAUGCUUCUGCCUACUAGAGGAAAGGUCAGGAAAGGCUGAACAGAAAGAAAAACACAACGAUUCAUAUUUCAAGAUCUUAUCUUCCACCUUUGCAAUGAAAGCCGUCUCUUAACUGUUGUGGAGUUGUUGGAAAUGAAAGGAACAUGGAGCCAAAUUACCAAGAGAAUCUACUGCCCAGUUUCUUCAAGUCACUCGGAGUCAAAGAACAGAUUAGAGAAUUCAGUUCAUGGAGGUUUAUUGGCCCCUCCAUCUGCUGUUCACUGUGAUGGGAGCGUCUGAUGGUUGCUGCCGUUUUUUAUAAUGGGACAUCCAGCAAGAGUCUGCACGAGAGUAUGUAUACAAUUAGCCAGACCUCUGCAGAGGGACAGGUAAAUGCCACAAAACUUUCAUUUUCACUUUGUGCUCCUCAAAGUAACAAGCUCUGUCUGCUUUAUUCCUGCUGUUUGGAAGGGUUCUGGCCCCUCUGGGCCUGCCAUGUACAGGGGCCAUGUGGGGUUGGCACCUGAGACCGAACAGAGACACAGUGGAAAGAAAGCCCCGUGUUGGCAGAAAGGGAGGUGUUUUCAUUGCCCGUCACAUCCCUCUUCUGUCUCCUCUCUGUCUCUUUGCACUUGUGGGUGCCCUAAAUGAGACCGAAGCCUCUAUAUGUUAUCUGUCCAAAGGGAGGCAAGAGCCACAAAAAGGACCUGAAGGCUCAAAGGGAAUUUUUCUGCAGAGGUAGCAGUAAUUAGAAAGAAGGAAGUUUUUGAAACGGGUCAGUUCCUUAAGGACUUCUCUUGGCAGUUUGCCUAGAAACUAGUGUUUCCUGCCCCACAUCCUGCAGUAGUUCCUCCUGGGAAGUAGAAAUGGAACAAUGGGACACAGAGAGAUACUGAUGAUCAACACAGCUGUUGUGGCGAUUGGAGCCUGGGGUCGAGGCUUCAUAAUCACUGAGGGCAUCUACUCGGCAGUUGUUGAGGCGAGUUCGAGAUCUUACUAGGACCAGAAGACCUUACGGGGCAGAUGCCAAAGAAAAUUGCUACCUUGAGAAGUGGAUACAAAGAGGAUCACAGUGAGGAACACAGACCAGCACACUUAGGGAUAUAGCCCCUUAUUGGGUUAGGUCUGCACAGGAUAAACUGAGCCAAGUGAAUCUAAAUGAAAGAUACCAAGCCCCAAAUAUAUAAAAUUAGAACAAAGAAAGUUAUUGAUUUUCCUAACGAACCAGAGAUGUUUCUCCACCCUAGCCAUAUAAAUCAGUAAGGAUGAUGCAAGUACAAAAACUGAGAGACAGCAAAUUAUAGCAGCAACACCAGUAGUGCCCAAACCAGGAAAGACUCAAAGUACUCAAAGUAAUGCAGGGUUAAUGUGAGAAAAUCCAUUCGGCACUAUUUUUCUGGGGGCAGGGUGGGUGUGUGUGUCCCAAGGAGCAGCUGAAACCAAAAGACCGACCAUGUUGCAGGUGGUAUCAGUCCUUAGGUGACAGUAACUCCAGUGUUCUACAUGUGUGGUUGUUUUGUCUCUUACAACUGUGCCAAAUAUAUUGUCUCACUUCUUCCUGUUUCAGAGCCCUCUGUGAGCAGCCCUUGGAGAGCAGCAUUACUUCCAAGCAGGGAAUGGUUUCAGAGCCAUUCUCCUCACAGGACUCAGAGUGAUCGGGGUGGUGUGGGAGCAGGGGAAUCCCUUUGCAGUCUCUGCAGUGUUUUUGGUCUCAAUGUAUUGUUUGCAGAGUGACAAAUAAGAAAGCUCUGUUCAGGGUUGUCAAAAUAGAAACUCCUGAAUUGUGUGUCAGGUCACUAGGUUCCUGGACAAAGUUUGGCAGCACCCCACCACUAAAUAAAGUUAUAGCUGAUAACCAAUUGACCAAUGAAAAUUUGGUUCCUGCAGCCAUGUUACCCAGGAUUACAAAAAUGGUAGCUAAAUAGAGAUUACCCUGGCAAGAGUGAGUAGACAUCACCUUGUAGUGUGUGUGUGUGUGUGUGUGUGUGUAUGAGAGUGCAACUCUCACUGUAGGAGAUAGAAAGAUUUUUUUCCAGUUCAUUGCAACCCUAAUUCCUACUCUCUUUGGUUUAUACCAUUUCUCCUUGAAACUGGCUCCUUUUUGCUUUGGAGGAUAGAAUUGAAUCCGGUGCCAGCCCAGCCAUGGCUGACUCUGGUUCCAGGACCCAUGAGCUUCAUCUGGAUCCUCAGUGGUAGUAGAUGUGUGCAUGAGUCCUUGCAUCUAAGUAUUUGGGGAGCCGGGCAAACUUCUGUCUCAAGUUAUUGCUGUGACAAGAGUGACAAGAGCAGAUAUACUCACAGAAGCUUGUGUUUGCAAAUGUACACCAAUGGCUGUAUUCUACAAGGUCUUAAAAUGGGAUUUUUUUUUAACCUAAUGGAAGAUUCUUCACCUCUUUCUUGCCCAGUUUGCUCUGAUGUUUCUCUCUCUUUUUUCUCUUAACAGACCUUAAUAUGGCUCUGAAAGCUAUCUUAUUUCUUGGAAGGCUUUAGGGUAUUUUUUUCUUUAUUAAAUUUAAAAGUUUGAAAGUCAUGGCUUAUUAUUUAGUAGGCCUUAAUAUAUAUGCAUUUUCCCCUUCUCCUAUGAGUCAAUAAAGACCACAACCUCUGGCUAACUUGAUAGAAAAUUUUCCAAACUGUGUACUAGGAAGGCUGAUUAGUUGAUUUGGUUUGUUUUGUUUUCAGUUUCUUAGUGCCUUCACCUUUUCAGUCUAGGAAAUUGAAAUACUAACUCUCACAGAAAUUCAAGCAAGUGUUCAAAGUGCAGUCCAUGAAUUAUUUAUUUUCAUGCCCCAGACUUCAUUCUCAUUAGCCAUAUCCCUGCACACUCAAGACAGUAAUUGAGGUAGGGAUUCAAUUCCUGAGCAAGAAAGAGCACUUCAGCAAGUUGGACAAGGGAGGGCUAUUCCAUCUAUACAGAUGUCUUCUGGGUUAACUACCAUUUAAAAAGCAUCCACUCUGUGUCAGACAUCACACUCAGUGAAAGGAGGGUGUGUUUUUAAUUCUUGUAACAGCUUCCUAAGAAUAGAUAUUGUUUCCCCAAUUUUAUAGGUGCAAAAAUUAAGACUCUGAGAAGUUCAUUAACUUACUAAAGUUCAGACAGCUAGCAAAUGGCUAGGAAGAAUGUUCCCAGAAUCCCUUUCUUAUAUUUAUUCAAGUUUAAGUGUUGAUCUAUGAAUCUGAUUAACGAUGUUUACUUUUCUUCCAGUUUACAAAGCACUCUCACAUAAUCACUUCUCAACAAGCCCAUGAGUAGGUCACUGUAGUCCCAAUCCAUGAUGAAGAAACUGAGGCCCAAAUGAGUGAAAAUAUGAAAACAAGGUAAUCCCAGGGACAUUGCAAAUGCAAUCUAGCUAAAGAUCAAUUUUCUAUUUUUCAGAAGGGACAGCUAACUGAGCAGGCUUCUUUCCAGAGAAUUCUUACUUUUCAGGUAUGCACAAAAUAAAAUUAAGCUUCAUAAUCCUUUCAACCUGUGGGCCCUUCCUUCGACCAGUGAGAAGGAAGGAGAGGGUCUCAGGCCAGAGGCAAGCCAGAAUUAUUGUAUUUACCAAAGUGUGUGUGUGUGUGUACACAUGUGUAGAGGUUAUCCGGGCAGCCCAUGGGUGCCUGAGGAGGGCUGAGGUCUCCCUUAUCCCAUUAGGGCAGGAAAGGCAAUUCUACCCAUGGGUUAUAGCCAGGACCAGAGGGUGCAUCUUGCUGUCUCUGACUCUGUGCUGGAGAAAGGCCCCAAAUCCUUUUACAGGGCCAGCUUGGACUUUGCCAAGAACUGCCAGGCAUUUAAGAUACAGCCCUUACUAACUAACACACAUUACCUACUGAACCCUUCCACUCAUAUCCCCCAAAGCCUUUACACUUGUUCCAUUCAAACAUGGUGCUGUGCCAACCAGCAAACUCUGCAUUGCAUUAAAAUUG